GAUGAACGCUCGCUACAGGCUUAACACAUGCAAGUCGAGGGGAAACGAUGAGAGAGCUUGCUCUCUUAGUCGUCGACCGGCGCACGGGUGAGUAACGCGUAUCCAACCUGCCUCUGACCAAGGGAUAACCCGUCGAAAGUCGGACUAAUACCUUAUGCAGCCGUCGGAAGUCAUCUGAUGACGACGAAAGAUUUCAUCGGUGAGAGAUGGGGAUGCGCCUGAUUAGCUUGUUGGCGGGGUAACGGCCCACCAAGGCGACGAUCAGUAGGGGUUCUGAGAGGAAGGUCCCCCACAUUGGAACUGAGACACGGUCCAAACUCCUACGGGAGGCAGCAGUGAGGAAUAUUGGUCAAUGGGCGUAAGCCUGAACCAGCCAAGUAGCGUGCAGGAUGACGGCCCUAUGGGUUGUAAACUGCUUUUAUGCGGGGAUAAAGUGAGGGACGUGUCCUUCAUUGCAGGUACCGCAUGAAUAAGGACCGGCUAAUUCCGUG
RNAcentral lists this ribosomal RNA (491 nucleotides) under uncultured bacterium. RNAcentral's name for it is "partial 16S ribosomal RNA". It matches the Rfam family "Bacterial small subunit ribosomal RNA", at positions 28 to 507 of the family's 1533-position model. The record is from RNAcentral.